This 455-nucleotide ribosomal RNA is filed under the name uncultured bacterium. RNAcentral describes it as "partial 16S ribosomal RNA". It matches the Rfam family "Bacterial small subunit ribosomal RNA", at positions 341 to 792 of the family's 1533-position model. The record is from RNAcentral.
ACGGGAGGCAGCAGUAAGGGAUAUUGGGCAAUGGGGGGAACCCUGACCCAGCCAUGCCGCGUGAGGGAAUGAGGCCCUACGGGUCGUGAACCUCUUUUGCCUGGGGAAAACCCCUCCCGCGUGACGGGGGGCUGCAGGUCCCAGGCGAAUAAGCAUCGGCUACCUCCGUGCCAGCAGCCGCGUUAAUACGGAGGAUGCGAGCGUUAUCCGGAUUCAUUGGGUUUAAAGGGUGCGCAGGCGGCGCGGUAAGUCAGCGGUGAAAUGCAGGGGCCCAACCCCGGCAGUGCCGUUGAUACUGGCGUGCUGGAAUGCGGUAGAGGCGGGCGGAAUGUGGCGUGUAGCGGUGAAAUGCAUAGAUAUGCCGCAGAACUCCGAUAGCGAGGGCAGCUCGCCAGGGCUGUAUUGACGCUCAGGCGCGAAAGCGUGGGGAUCGAACAGGAUUAGAUACCCUGGUA